AGUAAUGCGUCGACCAACCUCGCCCCAUGCUCCAGAAUAGCUCUUGGAAACGGGUGGUAAUGCUGGAUGCUCCAACUUNGACGCAUGUCUUGUUGGGAAAGUGUUUAGUGGCAUGGGAUGGGGUCGCGUCCUAUCAGCUUGUAGGCGGGGUAAUGGCCCACCUAGGCUUCGACGGGUAGCCGGCCUGAGAGGGCGGACGGCCACAUUGGGACUGAGAUACGGCCCAGACUCCUACGGGAGGCAGCAGCC
RNAcentral lists this ribosomal RNA (249 nucleotides) under uncultured Gardnerella sp. RNAcentral describes it as "partial 16S ribosomal RNA". It matches the Rfam family "Bacterial small subunit ribosomal RNA", at positions 109 to 355 of the family's 1533-position model. Lineage: Bacteria; Bacillati; Actinomycetota; Actinomycetes; Bifidobacteriales; Bifidobacteriaceae. The record is from RNAcentral.